UUUAUACACAUAAUUUAAGAUGUUGAGGAAGAAAUAUAUUUAUUUUUUAAUACUUGUUGUGGUCUUAGGCUUGCAAGGGACAACUUUAGAUGCAAACCAAACUUGCUCGGAGUCUAUUGUGUCCUUGGUGCCAUGUUUACCUUUUUUGCAAGGAUAUGGUCUGGAAACACUUUCUCAGUAUUGUUGUGGCGAAAUAAAUCAUUUAUUUCAAAAGGCGAAUACUCCUGAGAUUCGACGCAAUCUUUGUCAAUGUCUUAAAAAUGCUUCAAAAAGAUUUGAAAUUAAAUCUGACCAAGCAAAACAACUCCCUCAACUUUGUAACAUUUAUAUUUCAUUUUCAAUUGAUCCUGAUCCUAACAUUGAUUGCAACACGAUUCCAUGAUGCUACAAAUAGGGCAUAUAGAUUUUGAAGAAAGCUAGAAGAGUAACAAUAGAAAAUUUAUAGAAAUAAUUAAUGUGAAAAAUUCUAAUAACUCUUGAAAGUUGGGAAGUUUUCAGUAAUAUAUUACUGAAAAUUUGAAUCAUAUUUAUUUAUUAUCCAUUCUUGAUUUUAAAUCUGAA
Non-coding RNA from Cicer arietinum (chickpea), 561 nucleotides. The record is from RefSeq and is a predicted model, not a curated record. NCBI's taxonomy places the organism in Eukaryota, Viridiplantae, Streptophyta, Magnoliopsida, Fabales, Fabaceae.